This is a non-coding RNA of Schistosoma margrebowiei, 45 nucleotides long. Lineage: Eukaryota; Metazoa; Platyhelminthes; Trematoda; Strigeidida; Schistosomatidae. The record is from Rfam.
ACUCAAAUGAUGAGUCCCAAAUAGGAUUAAACGCGCGUCCUGGAU